AUAGAGAGACAUGCGCGCAUAUCAAUAAGCGGAGGAAAAGAAACUAACAAGGAUUCCCCUAGUAACGGCGAGUGAAGCGGGAAGAGCUCAAAUUUGAAAUCUUAAAGGGUUUCCCUUUACGAAUUGUAGUUUAAAGAAGUGUUUUCUGUUGAGGUUUUGGUAAAAGUUCUUUGGAAUAGGACAUCAUAGAGGGUGAGAAUCCCGUAUUUGACCUUUACUUUCAACUUUGUGAUACACUUUCAAAGAGUCGGAUUGUUUGGGAAUGCAGUCCAAAAUGGGUGGUAAAUUUCAUCUAAAGCUAAAUAUUGGCGAGAGACCGAUAGCGAACAAGUACCGUGAGGGAAAGAUGAAAAGGACUUUGAAAAGAGAGUUAAACAGUACGUGAAAUUGUCAAAAGGGAAGCGUUUGACACCAGUGUUGUUUUUCUGAAAAUCAAUUAAAGAACUGUUUAUGCUAAGUUGUUUAGACUUUAUCAGCUAACUGUUUAGUUUUGAGCUUUUCUUUAAUGCACUUUUCAGUUAACAAGUCAACAUCAAUUUCUUUUGCUGUAAAAAAGCUUGAGGAAGGUGGCUUGAGAUUCGUCUUAAGUGUUUAUAGCCUCUUGCCUAUGCAGUCGGAGAGAUUGAGGUCUGCAGCGUAGAUCCUUCGGGGCUAAAUGCAUUUGUGCUAAGUUAUAGCAUUUUAUAGACAACUUGUUGACUAUGAUUUGUCUUGUAGCUUACUCGCUUAUGUUAUUUUACCUACGCUUAGGAUGUUGACGCAUGAGAUAUACGC
RNAcentral lists this ribosomal RNA (774 nucleotides) under uncultured Neocallimastigales. RNAcentral's name for it is "partial large subunit ribosomal RNA". It matches the Rfam family "Eukaryotic large subunit ribosomal RNA", at positions 23 to 646 of the family's 3401-position model. The record is from RNAcentral. Lineage: Eukaryota; Fungi; Neocallimastigomycota; Neocallimastigomycetes; Neocallimastigales.